GACAGAGGGUGCAAACGUUGUUCGGAAUCACUGGGCGUAAAGCGCGUGUAGGCGGCCCUGCAAGUCGGAUGUGAAAUCCCACGGCUCAACCGUGGAAGUGCAUUCGAAACUGCAGGGCUAGAGUCCUGGAGAGGAAGGUGGAAUGCUUGGUGUAGAGGUGAAAUUCGUAGAUAUCAAGCGGAACACCGGUGGCGAAGGCGGCCUUCUGGACAGUGACUGACGCUGAGACGCGAAAGCGUGGGGAGCAAACAGG
This 253-nucleotide ribosomal RNA is filed under the name uncultured bacterium. RNAcentral's name for it is "partial 16S ribosomal RNA". It matches the Rfam family "Bacterial small subunit ribosomal RNA", at positions 524 to 776 of the family's 1533-position model. The record is from RNAcentral.